UACGUAGGGUGCGAGCGUUGUCCGGAAUUAUUGGGCGUAAAGCGUGCGCAGGCGGUGAUGUAAGACAGGGGUGAAAUCCCCGGGCUUAACCUGGGAACUGCAUUUGUGACUGCAUCGCUGGAGUGCGGCAGAGGGGGAUGGAAUUCCGCGUGUAGCAGUGAAAUGCGUAGAUAUGCGGAGGAACACCGAUGGCGAAGGCAAUCCCCUGGGCCUGCACUGACGCUCAUGCACGAAAGCGUGGGGAGCAAACAGG
This 253-nucleotide ribosomal RNA is filed under the name uncultured bacterium. RNAcentral describes it as "partial 16S ribosomal RNA". It matches the Rfam family "Bacterial small subunit ribosomal RNA", at positions 524 to 776 of the family's 1533-position model. The record is from RNAcentral.